Podarcis lilfordi (Lilford's wall lizard) is the source of this 73-nucleotide non-coding RNA. The record is from the annotation of a GenBank genome assembly. Lineage: Eukaryota; Metazoa; Chordata; Lepidosauria; Squamata; Lacertidae.
GAAGGGCUGUAGCUCAUUGAUAGAACAUCUGCUUUGCAUGCAGAAAGUCCCUGGUUCAAUCCCAGCAUCUUCA